Molecule: ribosomal RNA, 263 nt
Filed under: uncultured bacterium
Lineage: Bacteria
Description: partial 16S ribosomal RNA
Rfam family: Bacterial small subunit ribosomal RNA
Source: RNAcentral
CGCAUGAGUGCGGACGGGUGAGUAACGCGUGGGCAACCUGCCCUGUACAGGGGGACAACACUUAGAAAUAGGUGCUAAUACCGCAUAACGGGGGAGCCGCAUGGCACCCCCCUGAAAACUCCGGUGGUACAGGAUGGGCCCGCGUCUGAUUAGCUGGUUGGCAGGGUAACGGCCUACCAAGGCGACGAUCAGUAGCCGGCCUGAGAGGGCGGACGGCCACACUGGGACUGAGACACGGCCCAGACUCCUACGGGAGGCAGCAG